This 991-nucleotide long non-coding RNA is filed under the name Elaeis guineensis (African oil palm). RNAcentral describes it as "long non-coding RNA (EGUI_LNC030856)". The record is from RNAcentral. Lineage: Eukaryota; Viridiplantae; Streptophyta; Magnoliopsida; Arecales; Arecaceae.
GAUGAUGUUGGAAGCUUUAAUAUUUAUUUUUAGGAGAACCACAGAUAGAAACUAAAAACAACACCACCGCACACAUUAGUCGGGAAAAAGGGGGAAAAAAAACCUGAAUCAUCGUCCUUCCGUGUCUUUGUUUUCUAUAGGUGCAAAUAUUACUUGCAUAAAAAAUACCUUUUCGUUGGUACAUAACCAAAACACUGCUACAUCCAUUUGUAAACAUUAUCCAUCCAAUUAUAAUAGUUCUCUAGUCAUUUCCAGGGCAUGCACGCAAUUUUUUGAUAUGCUAAAUGUGCAGAAUAGCCAGUCUGGGUUCCAAGUUAUACAGACGUGACUUCAGAACUCUAUGCCAAACUGCCAAUAUUGACCAAAUACAUAUGAGAAAGCAAGUUAGUUAAACUAAACUAUAAAUUAAGGUCAUAUUAAACAUAGAUGUACAGAUGCAUGUACGAGAAAACAAAGUCAUGCAGAUUGCGUCAAAUUACAACUUAGAUCAAUACAUUUAAUUUUGUGAUAAAAAGGAUCUAUUUCGAGUUACUGCCUGAAUUGAAAUUUUCAAAAUGUUUAUCUCGUGGGUAUCAAGGCCAUUUCGGGUGUUUUAAAUGCCCAACCAAGCACUGCCGCUUAGAACUAGAGGCAUCAGACAUGCACCUACCACGCAUAAAACAUUUAUCAGACUUGCACCUACCACGCAUAAAAUUAUUAAACAUCCAAGCUCGAUCUCACCUGAACUUAUUGAUAAUGAAUGCUGCUCCAAGCAUCACUCUAUUCCCCACUCAGAGCAUCGGACCCUGUGGCACUCCUGGAUUGGUUAGUAUACAGAGCCACGUGGAUGACAAGCAGGACCGAUAUACCACCCCAUCCAUCAGCGUGCGGCAGGAUUGGAGCGGGGAAUAGAGGAAAACAUCGUGAUCCAACUAUUGUACGAUGAGUCCAAAACAGGCCAUCAUGGGUCUGAAUGAUUGGCUGCUGCAUGCUCCGAGCUUUAUGUUUUCCU